GCGGCCUAUCAGCUUGUUGGUGAGGUAAAGGCUCACCAAGGCGACGACGGGUAGCCGGCCUGAGAGGGCGACCGGCCACACUGGGACUGAGACACGGCCCAGACUCCUACGGGAGGCAGCAGUGGGGAAUAUUGGGCAAUGGAGGGAACUCUGACCCAGCGACGCCGCGUGCGGGAUGAAGGCCUUCGGGUUGUAAACCGCUUUCAGCAAGGAAGAAGCGAAAGUGACGGUACUUGCAGAAGAAGCACCGGCUAACUAUGUGCCAGCAGCCGCGGUAAUACAUAGGGUGCAAGCGUUGUCCGGAAUUAUUGGGCGUAAAGAGCUCGUAGGUGGUUCGUCACGUCGGAUGUGAAAAUCUGGGGCUUAACCCCAGACCUGCAUUCGAUACGGGCGAGCUAGAGUGUGGUAGGGGAGACUGGAAUUCCU
RNAcentral lists this ribosomal RNA (426 nucleotides) under uncultured Actinomycetes bacterium. Its description in RNAcentral is "bacterial SSU rRNA". It matches the Rfam family "Bacterial small subunit ribosomal RNA", at positions 233 to 671 of the family's 1533-position model. The record is from RNAcentral. Lineage: Bacteria; Bacillati; Actinomycetota; Actinomycetes.